CCUUCCAGAGCGCGUUCUCUCUCUCUCUCUCUCUCUCUCUCUCUCUCUCACCGCCUUCUUUUAUAGGUAUGGUUUCCGUGUCUCCCCCUACGAAACACAGCUGUUCUCUUAUAUCUCAGUUUCUCUCUCAUUCUACAUUCACGAGUUUCACAUCCUCCGUCUGAUUCUAUGAUUUUUCAUCGAUCGAGUCUUCCCCGCCGCCGCCUGCUCGAUCGUACUCUCUCGUAACUACGUUUAUUUCUCCUGUAAUCUGCGCAUUCUGUUCACAGUCGAAUGAUCUCGAUUUCGUUUUAUAUUCGGAAAGUGGAUGAGUUCUCGAGAAAACGAGGGAAAGUAGAUUAGUUUCUGUCCACAGCAUUAUGUAGUUUUGUUACCUUCUUCUUCUUCUUCCACGCCUCCGGUAAUCCGCUAAUUUUGUUCGGCGUUAGAUGAUCUCAAUUUUGUCUUGGUUUCUGUUUGGUUCUCGAGAAAAUUAGGGAAACUAGAUAAGUUUUUGUUCAUAGCAUUUAGUUAUCUUCUUUUCCUUUCUUUCCUCCGGUAAUCUGCUCGUUUUGUUCGGUGUAAAAUGAUCUCGAUGACUCGAUUUCGUUUUCUGUUCGUCGCUGUUUGGUUCUCGAGAAAAUUAGGGAAAGUAGAAGAGUUUUCGUUCACAGCUUUUCGCUAUCUUCUUUUUCUCUAGCUCCUCCAUCCAAUAUCAUCUCGAUACUCAUACUAUACCUGACAUUUUUGCUUGCGGUUUAAAUCAACGUUGAACUUGUUCGGAUCUGUACCUCUCUCUCUCCCUCUCUCUCUCUCUCUCUCUCUCUCUCUCUCUCUAUCCAUUUUGGUCUUUUAUUUUUUGAAAAUUGGUAGAUCAAUCAUCAUUCAUCAACGGUAAGGGAAACUGGAUGUUUUUGAACGGAGAGUAAUCUCAAUUUUCGAAGCCUGGAGGUAGUACAAUGAUUCCAUCACGAGAUAGCGGAAUGGUCAAAAUCUAGACACGAGCACAUGCACUAGCAGCGCAGGUGAACAACAUGUUGGUGGUAGGGCCUGUCGAAGAUCCGGCAGUAGAGGAAGGGAAACUCGAUGUUGAUGAGAUGCGGAUGUGUUCUCGACUUCUCGAUCUCAGUGUUGUAACGAGAGGGAUGUAUAUUUUUGGGAAGAAUGAUGUAGCUUGCUGCGUGCUUCGGAUCAAUCUGUGCCUUGAUAUCCAACCAUGAAGAUUUCUCCUGGUGAGGAGGGCCAAGACGUGAAGUAAACGACAAAACGAGGUUGCUAAGUUGUCCGAAGAGUUGUCCAACAUUGGUGAACCUGGUUCUUAUGGUUGUGAUGCCUCUGCUUCUGUUAUCUUUUGCACAGCAGAACAUGAGAUGAGGAAGUCAAAGUAUACCAGAAAAGAUGAAGUCCAUGCAAAAUAAUAAGAUUUUGUAGUUGUUGCCUCAGCAUUGCUGCCUCCCUUUGCCAAAACUAUCAUCAAGAAUACAAAGAAGAUGUAGAAUUUCUCAAGCUACAACUCUGGCUACUAGCAAGUUUUGGACUUGGGAAGUUCAAUAAGAAGAUCUAUUUCCAUGCUACAAAAAUGAGAAGUGAGGAUUAUGAGGUAUAGGGGAUUUCGCCAACCAAAAAAUUUGCAACAUGUUGCAAGGCACUGCUCCCAAGAGUUCAUUCUGAAGCCAAUAAUUCCUUCCCUUCGAUAUGUGAUAAUCAGUGGAUAAUAGCAGCAGCAUCUCACCUUCAGCUUUUGGAAUCUUCGAGAAUAGGCUUCAAUCCAUUUGUAUUUGAUCUCCUUUAUGCUUUUUCUGUUUUGUUAGCUUUAGCUUCUUGUUAGCUUGCUUUGGCUUUGGUCUGUAAUUUCUAUGUUCUGUUUGAACUCUGUUAUACUCCAUAUAGAAGUUCUCUCUUUUAUCCAAGAAGAGACACUUCAACAUCACGACGAUAUGCUGAUUCAUAGGAAAACUAUCGGUGACUUUCA
This is a long non-coding RNA of Rhododendron vialii, 1951 nucleotides long. RefSeq lists it as uncharacterized. The record is from RefSeq and is a predicted model, not a curated record. NCBI's taxonomy places the organism in Eukaryota, Viridiplantae, Streptophyta, Magnoliopsida, Ericales, Ericaceae. The transcript is spliced from 8 exons.